CACGUAGGCGGAUACUUAAGUUAGGGGUGAAAUCCCAAGGCUCAACCUUGGAACUGCCUUUAAUACUGGGUAUCUCGAGUCCGGAAGAGGUGAGUGGAAUUCCGAGUGUAGAGGUGAAAUUCGUAGAUAUUCGGAGGAACACCAGUGGCGAAGGCGGCUCACUGGUCCGGUACUGACGCUGAGGUGCGAAAGCGUGGGGAGCAAACA
This 207-nucleotide ribosomal RNA is filed under the name uncultured bacterium. RNAcentral describes it as "partial 16S ribosomal RNA". It matches the Rfam family "Bacterial small subunit ribosomal RNA", at positions 568 to 774 of the family's 1533-position model. The record is from RNAcentral.